RNAcentral lists this ribosomal RNA (266 nucleotides) under uncultured Staphylococcus sp. RNAcentral describes it as "partial 16S ribosomal RNA". It matches the Rfam family "Bacterial small subunit ribosomal RNA", at positions 96 to 354 of the family's 1533-position model. The record is from RNAcentral. Lineage: Bacteria; Bacillati; Bacillota; Bacilli; Caryophanales; Staphylococcaceae.
CGGCGGACGGGUGAGUAACACGUGGAUAACCUACCUAUAAGACUGGGAUAACUUCGGGAAACCGGAGCUAAUACCGGAUAAUAUAUUGAACCGCAUGGUUCAAUAGUGAAAGACGGUUUUGCUGUCACUUAUAGAUGGAUCCGCGCUGCAUUAGCUAGUUGGUAAGGUAACGGCUUACCAAGGCAACGAUGCGUAGCCGACCUGAGAGGGUGAUCGGCCACACUGGAACUGAGACACGGUCCAGACUCCUACGGGAGGCAGCAGGA